This is a long non-coding RNA of Portunus trituberculatus (swimming crab), 6148 nucleotides long. RefSeq lists it as uncharacterized. The record is from RefSeq and is a predicted model, not a curated record. The transcript has 2 exons. NCBI's taxonomy places the organism in Eukaryota, Metazoa, Arthropoda, Malacostraca, Decapoda, Portunidae.
GAGACUAAUAAUAAAGUGAGUCUUGAGGAAUGAAAAGAAAGAAAAAAUGAAAAAGAAGAAAAAGAAAAGAAAAAAAUGAGAAAAGUUUGAUUAUAUGUAAAGGGCAGAACACCACCUGACCAUCACCCCUCGUUCUGGAUCGUUCGGCCACUCCCGACCGACACUUCGCUCAUUUCUCUCUGCCACGUAUGUCUCGAGAACCCUGCUUCUUCCGGUCACUCCACGUCUCGAGGCCUCAGUGAACACCUAACCGAGUCUACCUCGAGCCUCGCCAACACCCAGACGGCAGAGCACUUCCUGGACUCUUCAAGGACAAGCCUCUCCUCUGCUGCCCUGGCUUCACCCUCUCUCUACUUCUCGGCGCCGUCAACGAGUCUGUCUUCAGUGUUGGUGAGAUUAGUGUUCUGUGGCCUUCAUUCGCUCUGGAGGGAGACUCUUGGUGAGACCUGGGUGGUGUGCAAGGUGUCCAUUUUGUUAUAUUGUGUAUACCUGUGUUUUCCAAGUCUAGUAAACUUGGAACCAUUCGAAGCUGUUUAUUACCGCCCCUACCGGGUGAAGUGUACAUCCUGGGCUUAGUUUAGUGGGGGCAGGCCAGUGAUGGCGUUUCGCACCUCGCCUCCGGAACAAAUGGACUAAACUAGUAAGUUAUUACUUACAUUCUGGCGACCUCGCCACGAUAUUUAACUUAGUUUCUUUGGGGUGUUGAAUGUGUAGUGCAGAGUUACACUUCGGCGACCUCGCCAGGGUAUUUAACUUAGUCUCUUUGGGGUGUUGAAUGUGUUAGUGCCGAGUUGUGCGAACUUGCUGUUUCCCCAGUUUUUCUGUGCCUAAGUGUUUCAGUGGUGCAAUGUUUUUCUUUCUCGGACGUGUUGUGUAGUUAUACGUUCGUCCUCAGUGAAUUGAGGAAGAUUAGGUGCAGACCCACGUGUCCUCGAAUUUACACUUGAUUAAGUGCAGGUCCAGUGCCUUUUAGCCACCCCUCGUUCUCUUGGUUUAGCCACCCCUCGUUCUCUUGGACGAGCAGCCGCUAAUCCGGGGAUUUCGGCUGGUUCACAGUACCUUACUGUGGCUUGUGGCAGCGGAGUAUUUUGACGUCUUAUUUUGUCUCCUAGACGUUGUCUCCUAGACGUAAGUGUGGAGUAGCCAUUGCUCCUACACAGGAACUAGUUAUGCUCAGUGCUUGCUAGUGAGUCUCUGUACAUAUACUUUGUGUGCUGUCCUUGUGUGAGUGUCCUUGUGUGGGGUUCACUUGUAACUAUGUGUACGUUUUGCUUGACUGUAUGUGGUGCGAGUGAUGAAGUAAUCUCUAUCUACCUGUGAGAUAUUUGAUCCAUUUUUGGGUGUGGUUGUGCACUUCAUCAAUUUUUCUACCCUUGUGGUUUAUUUUAUACAUGCAUAAUUCAUGUGUGCGUGAGACAAGACAGUUUUCAUGGUUGACUCAACUGUGUCUUGACUGUUUAAUUCAUAUUAAGGGAUUCCCCUGUCCCUAGAUUUUAAAGUCUCUGCGUUGUUGGGUUUGGUAGUUUUGGUUCUAUUAUAAUCUAAGAUGUCUACUUUUGCUCUGCUUGCAAAACAAGCAAUAAAGCUCGGCCUCUCAGGAGAGGCCGUUGCUCAGUUUGCUCCAACAAGCUCUUCCAACGGGAAGAGCGCAGGAACGUCAACGAGAAAGGGAGCGUGAGGAACGAGAAAGGGAGCGUCAGGAACCAGAACGGGACGAACGUGAGAAGGAACGGGUAUUUGAACUUGCCUGCCAAGUUGAAUUUUAGUUUAGGGAGCGUGAGGAACGAGAAAGGGAGCGUCAGGAACCGUCACGGGACGAACGUGAGAAGGAACGGGUAUUUGAACUUGCCUGCCAAGUUGAAUUUUAGGGAGCGUCAGGAACCAGAACGGGACGAACGUGAGAAGGAACGGGUAUUUGAACUUGCCUGCCAAGUUGAAUUUUAGUUUAGAGUCGGGAGCACAUCCUACCCGAUGCUGGCGUGCGAGGACCGUAGCUUCCAGCUUACUAAGGAGAGGACAUCGCCGCCUACCUGACCAUUGAGCGUAUUGCUACGCUCUUAAUCUACGUGGAGUCUCGCUGUCAGAUUUGGGAGUCUACUGACGGGUAAAGCUGCUGAACUCUGUUCCACCUUUAGCACUGAUACCAUAAGUAUUUCUCCUCCUAAAAGGGGAUCUCCUGACUGGUUUUGACAAGAAUCCAGAGCGGCACCGGCUAGACUUCAGGAACUGUAUGAUCAGAGUGGGGAAAAUUGCCGCCAGAUGUCUACCAGUCUUCAGCAGGUAUUUGACUCCUGGGUGGAGUCUUGUCGUAUUUCAGCAACGUUUGAAUCCCUUCGUGAGUUUAUCAUUUUAGAUCGGUUCAUUGCUUCCCUUUCUUACGAUCUCCGUAUCUUAAAGGAGCAGGAUACCACCAACCUUAAGACUGCCGUGGUUAAGGCUGGUAUUUGGUCUGCAGCUCACAACGCCUACCCUAAGCAGAACUCCAGCAGAGCCACUGGGAUAUUACCUACCAUAACAGGGCCUCAACAUCUACUGAAAAGGGCAGUGGUUAAGGCUGGUAUUUGGUCUGCAGCUCACAACGCCUACCCUAAGCAGAACUCAGCAGAGCCACUGGGAUAUUACCUACCAUAACAGGGCCUCAACAUCUACUGAAAAGGGCAAUGAGGCCAUUAACGCUAAACCGGACCAAACAAGCUACUUCCGGAUGAAGUGUUACAACUGGCAUGUAAGGUCUGUGUCCAAAGGAUCCCAGAGCCUUUAAAGAACCACAGGACAAAUACAAGGUAGGAUUUUGUAUGGAUGAGCGGUCUCUCCCGGAUUAUGCAUUUGCCGGCAUGAUCAACGGCUCCUGGGCUACUAUUGUCGGACACCGGCUGCAAUUGCGUGAUCGUCUCUGAGAAGGCAGUGCCUGAUGCUGACUUCUCUCAGCGACCUAAGGUAGUAGAGGACUAUCUUGGCUGGGAAGAUAUUUUUCCAACCAUUAGGUGCUAUUUAAGAUGACCCUAUUUCGAGGGUUGGAUUGAUAAUGCUAUCCUAGCUCCUAUGAAGCGCGCUUGUGUCCUCAUUGGCAAUAUCUUAUGAGUUCGUAGUCCUGGUGAGCCGUCUCAAGAAUAUAGCAAAGCACCAUCCUCCUCGCUCUGUCAUGUCGGUGAUUUGGCUGGUUAUGCUUCAGUCUUCUCUGCCCACUACGAGCAUAUGCUGUGUUAACCCGCAGUAGCAGAAUGAAGCGUGAUCAUCCUCUAGUUUUACCAGAAUUGCAACCCUUGGACGUGACUUCAGAGGAUUUCGCUCGUCUUCAAGAGUGUCCGUCUCUUAAAUCUUAGGAACAAGUUAACACAGAUGAAGAGGAGCGGACAAAGGACGGCUCUACUUUGUUACCUUCGCUGUACCGGACGUCUCUACCGGAAGUGUCUGCCCUCGAAACGUCCAGCAAAGGUUGGUAAGCUCAUUCUUGUUCCUAAGGAUUGUCGACUAAUAAUCCUGUCUGUUGGCCAUGAAAAACUUUUAGGUCAUUUCUCUCGCAAAGACUUUCUUGAAGGAUCCAGCCACUUCUGGCCUGGGAUGGGCACGGAUAUUAUCGUCUUCUGUCGAUCCUGUGACGUCUGUCAACGAAUGUCUGCCAAAGGAAGAGUCCGACCAGCACCUCUCCAUCCUCUUCCAAUUAUAACAACCUUUUUCUUUUUUCCAGAGUGGCGGUCGAUUUGUUUAGACCACUGUCUCCCCCAUCCUCGGAAAGCCACGGGUACAUCCUCACUUUAAUAGACUACGCCACUGGGUUCCCAGAAGCCGUGCCACUGAAGGAAAUAGACUCCAUCUCCGUUGCUGAGGCCUUACUCUCCAUCUUCGCUAGAGUCGCACUAAUGGUCGCAUUGAACGUCUACAUGCACCACUUCAAGCUUCCUACGAAAGCUCUGUAAGGUCUUCUCUAUGGAGCAACUGUUAAGGGACCUCUCUCCGCCCUUAGAGAUCUAUGGGAGGACCGGAACCUGAAGGACGACGACCGAUCCGCUGUCCGCUGUGUGGUAGAGCUACAGGAGAAGCUAGCAGAGACCGCGCAGAUCGCCGCCAACAAUGCAGACAUCAGUGCCUCGAAAUAUAAGAACUACUUUGACAUGGUCAAGAUAGACGGUUUCAACCUGGCGAUGAAGUCAUUCUUCCCAGCGAUUCUAGCAAGCUUCUUGUAACUUGGAAAGUAACUUGUACAGUUUAAGAGCGACGAGGUAAUGUUGACUACCUAAUUGAUUAUCCCCAAGGUCCGAGAUUGUACCACGUCAACCUCUUAAAAACCUUCCGGCUUCUUAAAACGUUACAUCCGUCGUGCUAGUGCCAGCUUUGCUAGAGUCUUGGACGUAAUGUCAACACCUGAAAGAGUCUUGGACGUAAUGUCAACACCUGAAGAGACCGAAGAGUAUGUCCCGGAGAACAACCACCUUAUUUGUGAAGACGACCCAGAGGACGAGUGCUACUCUCAGCCUGUGACACCUGAUGGCUGCUCCGACAAGGAUAGACGAUCCAGGAUCAAUUAAUUUCAUAAGGUGACAUCGAGUAUCUCCUGUCAGUUUGACGAUUGUUUUCUCAUGUUCCUGGGUGUACUUCCUCUGAACAUAUUAUCUUAACUACCACUGUCUGCAUCAGCACAAAGGUUUACCCUGUCCCUGUCCAUCUUAAAACGUUUCUUUGAACAGAAAAUCUCUGACCUUUUGAGAAAGGAAUCAUCCGACGGUCUUCUCAACAUUGUUCGCCGGUCGUGAUGGUUCCUAAGCCAGACAACACUUGUCGGAUGGCCAUCGACUGCCGUCAACUCGAAAGCCUCAGUCUUCCAGGCUGAGCCCAGCUGCAACAUUGAGGAAGAUGUGUACAAGUUUUCCGGUUCAAGAUUCUUCACUGAGUUAGAUCUCUGCAAGGCUUAUUACCAAGUCCCUUUGACAGAGCCAUGCCACUGACAGCUUUCCCAACCCACUUGGGCCUAAUGGAGUUCACCAGACUACCUUUCGGCCUGGUCACUGCUUGUGCCACCUAUAUCAAGCUCGCAAACGUGGCUUUUUAUUUUGAUAAUGUUUUUAUAUACUCUUCAGACUGAGCCCUGCAUUUAAAGACCCUUCAUGCCAUGCUGGACAGAAUCAGGACCCAUGGACAUGCAUUCAAGAUCUCCAAGUGCCAUUUUGGAUUCCCUUCCAUUCUAUACCUUGGAUUAAUUUUGGGAGGUGACUGUCUUCAUACCCAGCCUGACAAAGUGGAAGCGCUCUGCAAGAUACCACCACCAUCCACUGAGAAACUUCUACGAGGAUUUAUUGGAAUAGUAAGUUUCUACAAGUCUUUUAUCCCUCGGGCAUCCUUCCUCACUGGCCCUCUGACUGAUCUGCUAAAAGACUGUUCGUGAGCCCCUUCCCUGGACGGACGGGUUGCAGGCCUGUUUCGACCAGCUCAAAUUAAUCCUCUUCUAACCCCAUACUUCGUCUUCCCGAUCCUAGCCGUCCUUUUGUACUUGGACGGACGCAAGAAUGAUCGCCUUCACAAAUGGAGUCCAGGACUGCAACCAUACAAAGUCAGGGUCGUUCAUGUUGCUGGAGCUGACAAUCUAUGUGCCGACCUCAGUUGAGUUUAAAUAUUUUCUUCUAUCCUUUCUUUUCUCCAGAAGGCAUUGCAUUCCCUAGGAGUGGUGUUCUACAAGACUGCCGUGGCUACUCUCUUGGAGGGGGGAGUUAUGUAAAGGGCAGAACACCACCUGACCAUCACCCCUCACCACCUGACCAUCACCCUCGUUCUGGAUCGUCCGGCCACUCCCAAGCGACACUUCGCUCACUUCUCUCUGCCACGUAUGUCUCGAGAACCCUGCUUCUGGUCCCUCCACGUCUCGAGGCCCCAGUUAACACCUAACCGAGUCUACCUCGAGCCUCAUCAACACCCAGACGGCAGAGCACUCCCUGGACUCUCAAGGACUGGCCUCUCCUCUGCUGCCCUGGCUUCACCCUCUACCUGCUUCCUGGCGAUGUCAACGAGUCUGCCUACAGUGUUGGUGAGAUUAGUGUUUCUCUGGCCCUUCCUCGCUCUGGAGGGAGACUCUUGGUGAGAGCCGGGUGGUGUGCAGGGUGUCGUUGUUGUUAUUGUAUACCUAUGUUUUUGUAAGUCUAGUAAACUUGGAACCAUU